This 70-nucleotide transfer RNA is filed under the name Roseburia intestinalis. RNAcentral's name for it is "tRNA-Cys". It matches the Rfam family "tRNA". Rfam says of the family: Transfer RNA (tRNA) molecules are approximately 80 nucleotides in length. Their secondary structure includes four short double-helical elements and three loops (D, anti-codon, and T loops). Lineage: Bacteria; Bacillati; Bacillota; Clostridia; Lachnospirales; Lachnospiraceae. RNAcentral also lists the same sequence under 8 other names. The record is from RNAcentral.
GAUGCUGUAGCCGCUGGUAGGGCAUAGGUUUGCAAAACCGAAGUUGGUGGUUCGAAUCCGCCCAGUAUCA